Molecule: small nuclear RNA, 101 nt
Filed under: Canis lupus familiaris (dog)
Lineage: Eukaryota; Metazoa; Chordata; Mammalia; Carnivora; Canidae
Source: RNAcentral
AGAAACAAGUUAAUUUUUUCACUAGUUUAUUUCAGGUAUAAAGAGUAUCAUGGCCCCUGAGCAAGGAUGACACACAAAUCUGUGAUGCAUUCCACAUUUUU